UGGGGAAUAUUGGACAAUGGGGGCAACCCUGAUCCAGCCAUGCCGCGUGCGUGAAGAAGGCCUUAGGGUUGUAAAGCGCUUUCAGCGGGGACGAUGAUGACGGUACCCGCAGAAGAAGCCCCGGCUAACUCCGUGCCAGCAGCCGCGGUAAUACGGAGGGGGCAAGCGUUGUUCGGAAUUACUGGGCGUAAAGGGCGCGUAGGCGGCACAUCAAGUCAGAGGUGAAAGCCCCGGGCUCAACCUGGGAAUUGCCUUUGAAACUGAUGAGCUAGAGUCCGGAAGAGGAUAGCGGAAUUCCCAGUGUAGAGGUGAAAUUCGUAGAUAUUGGGAAGAACACCAGUGGCGAAGGCGGCUAUCUGGUCCGGUACUGACGCUGAGGCGCGAAAGCGUGGGGAGCAAACAGGAUUAGAUACCCCCGUAGUCC
RNAcentral lists this ribosomal RNA (424 nucleotides) under uncultured prokaryote. RNAcentral describes it as "bacterial SSU rRNA". It matches the Rfam family "Bacterial small subunit ribosomal RNA", at positions 355 to 796 of the family's 1533-position model. The record is from RNAcentral.